RNAcentral lists this small nuclear RNA (23 nucleotides) under Arabidopsis thaliana (thale cress). RNAcentral describes it as "snRNA_16672". The record is from RNAcentral. Lineage: Eukaryota; Viridiplantae; Streptophyta; Magnoliopsida; Brassicales; Brassicaceae.
UCUGAAGAUAUAAUGGAACUCCU